AUGGGUGUGGCGGCUGCAAUAUGUCGAGAUCACACAGGAGAAUACCUUGGCUCAUCGGCUGUUGUGUUCAGUGGCAUCACGGAUCCUUUGAUCCUUGAAGUAUAUGCAUGUAGAGAGGCAAUGGCCCUGGCUGAAGACCUCAACAUCCACAGGCUACGCAUUGCAAAUGAUUGUCAAGGGGUGAUCGCGGACAUCAACUCCGGAAGCAGGGGACCACAUGCAGCGAUUCUACAUGAAAUAUCAGAACGGAAGAGUCUUUUUCUUUCUUGCAAUUUUGUUUUCGAACGUAGAAAUUUUAAUUUCGAGGCUCAUGAUCUCGCCAAGUUUGCUAGUAGUCUUUCGGUUGGUCGUCAUGUCUAG
RNAcentral lists this ribosomal RNA (360 nucleotides) under Triticum aestivum (bread wheat). RNAcentral's name for it is "partial small subunit ribosomal RNA". The record is from RNAcentral. Lineage: Eukaryota; Viridiplantae; Streptophyta; Magnoliopsida; Poales; Poaceae.